Hibiscus syriacus is the source of this 179-nucleotide long non-coding RNA. RefSeq lists it as uncharacterized. The transcript has 3 exons. Lineage: Eukaryota; Viridiplantae; Streptophyta; Magnoliopsida; Malvales; Malvaceae. The record is from RefSeq and is a predicted model, not a curated record.
ACAAGAGAUUGUUGAAUGCAAGUCCCGGAUUGCAGAUAUGCAGAAAAGACUAAACAUCUUCGAAAGUGGACCUGCAGAAAUCACAACGUUGAGUCAGGCUGAGUUUCACGAGCAGAUCCUCGAGGAAACACUGAAACAAGUGCGAUUGCAGAAGCAAGCUUUACAGGAAAAAUACACUA